UCAAAACUGUGCAGAACACUGGGGAGGAGGAGGACUGGAGAGCUGUGUGACGAAUGUACAUCUGAACAAGAGUAGCCGAAGAAGAAUAACUUCUGGUGCUUGGCAGUUGAGGUAAUACACACAAGGGAAGAUGGAGAUUUCCCACUCUGGGGUAGGAGGUUUGGAAUUACCUACUAUAUUCAGCUGCCACUACUUGGAAAGAGUGAGGACAACACCAAGACUGCCUCUUCCAGCAAUGAAAUCUGAUGACCCUUAAAAUUAGAUUGGGAACCUGUGAACUUAAUGAUCACCUUCAGUUGUAAACGGUGCUAACUGUAGGAGUAAAGCAAUCAUUAAAAGCUGUAAACAGAGGGUCCUGCUACAUCUUUUCUGAUUGUAUGUGCUGGAGUCAGAUGGACCCAUUUGGUUCUGGGGACCUGUCAGUUGAAAACGCUUCUCUACGACAUUCACCUGAAAGUGACAGCUCAGAGAGAAAUAGGUUUGAACUUGCAUGGAUAGUCCUUGUAUUAUUUUCAUGUGAAUGGCAGAAUGAAGUAAUUUGUGAUUGUAGAUAGUGCAUGAAGCAAUUACCAGAAAUAUGGUAUUUUGGCCCAAGGAAAUUCAUGUUCAGGCAAUAAUUUCAAAUGUUUUAAAUUCUACACUUCUGUAGUAGGUGACACAAAAUCCUUUUUUAGUAAUGAUUAUAUCACCAAGUCUGUCCUUGCAUGCCCUUCCUUGUUAGCUAUUCAAGCAUUAAGAUUUAUGAACCUUGUC
Pezoporus occidentalis (night parrot) is the source of this 753-nucleotide long non-coding RNA. RefSeq lists it as uncharacterized. The record is from RefSeq and is a predicted model, not a curated record. The transcript has 3 exons. Lineage: Eukaryota; Metazoa; Chordata; Aves; Psittaciformes; Psittacidae.